RNAcentral lists this ribosomal RNA (465 nucleotides) under uncultured bacterium. RNAcentral's name for it is "partial 16S ribosomal RNA". It matches the Rfam family "Bacterial small subunit ribosomal RNA", at positions 339 to 795 of the family's 1533-position model. The record is from RNAcentral.
CCUCGGGGGGCAGCAGUGGGGAAUAUUGGACAAUGGGGGAAACCCUGAUCCAGCAAUGCCGCGUGUGUGAAGAAGGCCUGCGGGUUGUAAAGCACUUUCGGUUGGGAGGACUGCUUCUAGCACUAAUAUUGUUGGAAGUUGACGUUACCUUCAGAAGAAGCACCGGCUAACUCCGUGCCAGCAGCCGCGGUAAUACGGAGGGUGCAGGCGUUAAUCGGAAUUACUGGGCGUAAAGCGCGCGUAGGCGGCUAGAUCAGUCUGGUGUGAAAGCCCCGGGCUUAACCUGGGAACUGCAUCCGAUACUGUCUAGCUUGAGUACAGGAGAGGAGAGUGGAAUUCCACAUGUAGCGGUGAAAUGCGUAGAUAUGUGGAGGAACACCAAUGGCGAAGGCAGCUCUCUGGCCUGAUACUGACGCUGAGGUGCGAAAGCGUGGGGAGCAAACAGGAUUAGAUACCCUAGUAGUC